Molecule: transfer RNA, 72 nt
Filed under: Dreissena polymorpha
Lineage: Eukaryota; Metazoa; Mollusca; Bivalvia; Myida; Dreissenidae
Rfam family: tRNA
About the family: Transfer RNA (tRNA) molecules are approximately 80 nucleotides in length. Their secondary structure includes four short double-helical elements and three loops (D, anti-codon, and T loops). Further hydrogen bonds mediate the characteristic L-shaped molecular structure. tRNAs have two regions of fundamental functional importance: the anti-codon, which is responsible for specific mRNA codon recognition, and the 3' end, to which the tRNAs corresponding amino acid is attached (by aminoacyl-tRNA synthetases). tRNAs cope with the degeneracy of the genetic code in two manners: having more than one tRNA (with a specific anti-codon) for a particular amino acid; and 'wobble' base-pairing, i.e. permitting non-standard base-pairing at the 3rd anti-codon position.
Source: Rfam by way of RNAcentral
GCAUCCAUAGCUCUGUGAUAGAGCACUUGUCUUGUAAACCAGGGGUCGUGAGAUCGAUCCCCACUGGGGGCA